This 253-nucleotide ribosomal RNA is filed under the name uncultured bacterium. Its description in RNAcentral is "partial 16S ribosomal RNA". It matches the Rfam family "Bacterial small subunit ribosomal RNA", at positions 524 to 776 of the family's 1533-position model. The record is from RNAcentral.
GACGUAGGGGGCCAGCGUGGCUCGGAAUUACUGGGUGUAAAGGGUUCGUAGGCGGUGUGGCAAGUCGGGAGUGAAAUCUCUGAGCUUAACUCAGGACCUGCUUCCGAAACUGCUGUGCUAGAGUGUGGGAGAGGCGCGUGGAAUUGCAGGUGUAGCGGUGAAAUGCGUAGAUAUCUGCAGGAACACCCGUGGCGAAAGCGGCGCGCUGGACCACUACUGACGCUGAGGAACGAAAGCUAGGGGAGCAAACAGG